AUCCCAGGCUAUCAAAAUAUUUCAUUCUGAUUUUGGUGGUGAGUACUUGCCAAAAGACUUCAAGAAUCUACUUAACUCCCAAGGAACUUUAUCUCAAAUAUCUUGCAUUGAGAACCACUAGAGAAUGGUGUUUGUGAAUAGAAACAGGGUCACAUCAUUCCAACUAUUCGCAGUCUACUCUCAUCCUCCGCACCUUGUGAAUUCUGGGGGACAGCAAUUCAUAUGUUUGUAUAACUAAUUAAUAGGACAUCUUCUUCUAUCAUUGCUAGGAAAUUUCCCCAA
RNAcentral lists this long non-coding RNA (282 nucleotides) under Elaeis guineensis (African oil palm). RNAcentral's name for it is "long non-coding RNA (EGUI_LNC012316)". The record is from RNAcentral. Lineage: Eukaryota; Viridiplantae; Streptophyta; Magnoliopsida; Arecales; Arecaceae.